CCAUCCUUAGCUCAGUUGGUAGAGCGCCCGUCUUAUACACGGGUGGUCGGAGGUUCGACUCCUCCAGGAUGGACCA
RNAcentral lists this transfer RNA (76 nucleotides) under bacterium. RNAcentral's name for it is "tRNA-Ile". It matches the Rfam family "tRNA". From Rfam's summary of the family: Transfer RNA (tRNA) molecules are approximately 80 nucleotides in length. The record is from RNAcentral.